RNAcentral lists this long non-coding RNA (1165 nucleotides) under Phoenix dactylifera (date palm). Its description in RNAcentral is "long non-coding RNA (PDAC_LNC003551)". The record is from RNAcentral. Lineage: Eukaryota; Viridiplantae; Streptophyta; Magnoliopsida; Arecales; Arecaceae.
AAUCAUCAUUAAUAUGUUAGAAUUUUUAUUAUAGUGUAAUGAUAGAUACAAAAUGCUUAUUCAUAUAAUGUUACAAUUUACAUCAGUUUUCUUUAUCCAUAUCCCUCCUUUGUAACGCUUCUAUGACAGCCUUCUUUGAACACAAAAUGUGGAGUGGAAUGUUUAAACCGAUGCAGCGAGUCAUUGUUGACAGCACCCUCCUGGGCCACACCACCAGUGAAUGAUUGACUCCACGCUCAUAAAGUCUUUAGAUGAAUAUAGUUUGCUUGGGAAACAGAUGAUUAGGACGAAAGCAAUGCCCCUCUUCUUUGUUUGAGGUAAAAGGUGGGCAAAAGAGUAUGUGGAGCUGCAUUCUUGAGAAGCAGAAGCAGAGAAAAAAGUCCUCCGGAUGGUAGUCAAAAUGAUGUUUUGAUUUCAAUUGCUUAGAGCACGAGCAGCAUGCCAUCAUUGAGGUUUGAGCAAGUUAGCUUUAUAUGGUGAUCUUAGAUGCUUGAGAAGCAAACUUUAAGAUAAUCUUCACACCAAUGCACAAAGCACUUGACCAUUAAGCUUAUGAAGCAUUAAUAUAUAAAGAUAAAUAUUCUAUCCACUCAACAGGAACUCAGCUAAGAUAUUAAGGACUAACCAUGCUGCCAUUCUUUGAUGUCUCUUUCACUACCAAAACGUCUUCCUUCCACCACUACAAGCACUACCUCAUCAUUUUAACUUGUCAGCACUACAAAUUGAUGAGAUUGGUGGUAGUGGAAGCAUCACUGGCUAUGGCUAUUGAUUACUUCAAAGCGAAAAUGGAGUUGGGGUCCCCAACCUUUCUACAAGUGUUGGCCAGUUUUGGGAUGUGCCUCCGAUGGCAUGUUAGAAGAUAAAGACUUCCCAUCCCCCUACCUAACUUAUGCCAUUGUUAAAAAAUAUAGGACCUCUGUAUUGGUACACUAGGUGGAAUUUGAACUUAAAAGUCAUUUUCUGAGUAAUAUAGGUUGGAGGUACAUUUACACCUACCACGAGCUACAAAGCUCAUGAUCAUGGGAUCAAUUGAACCUACUAUAAUGUUGGGGGCGCACCAAUAGUUGUAUGAUUCGAAUCCAGAAGGUGGUGAGAAUGAUUCGAGUACUAGUUUGAACCCCCAAAGCUUAUAAAUUUGAUGUAAGAUCCCAUACAAAAUAAAUUU